This 498-nucleotide ribosomal RNA is filed under the name uncultured bacterium. Its description in RNAcentral is "partial 16S ribosomal RNA". It matches the Rfam family "Bacterial small subunit ribosomal RNA", at positions 28 to 507 of the family's 1533-position model. The record is from RNAcentral.
GACGAACGCUGGCGGCAUGCCUAAUACAUGCCAGUUGAACGAUGAUAUUCUCUGCUUGCAGAGAAUUGAAGAGUAGCGAACGGGUGAGUAACACGUGGGGAACCUGCCCAUGAGAGGGGGAUAACAUUCGGAAACGGAUGCUAAUACCGCAUAAUGCUUUGGACCGCCUGGUCCAGAGACGAAAGACGGCUUUUGCUGUCACUCAUGGAUGGCCCCGCGCCGUAUUAGCUAGUUGGUGAGGUAAUGGCUCACCAAAGCUGUGAUACGUAGCCGACCUGAGAGGGUGAUCGGCCAGAUUGUGACUGAGAAACGGCACAGACUCCUACGGGAGGCAGCAGUAGGGAAUCUUCCACGAGGGGCGAAAGCCGGAUGGAGCAAUGCCGCGUGAAUGAAGAAGGUCUUCGGAUCGUAAAGUUCUGUUAUUAGAGAAGAACAAGUCAAGGAGUAACUGUCUUGACUUUGACGGUACCUAACCAGAAAGUCACGGCUAACUACGUG